GGCCCGCUAGCUCAGUGGAUAGAGCAACUGCCUUCUAAGCAGUGGGUCGCAGGUUCAAUUCCUGCGCGGGCUGCCA
Molecule: transfer RNA, 76 nt
Filed under: Lentisphaerota bacterium
Lineage: Bacteria; Pseudomonadati; Lentisphaerota
Also listed under: 1 other name
Description: Lentisphaerae bacterium tRNA-Arg
Rfam family: tRNA
About the family: Transfer RNA (tRNA) molecules are approximately 80 nucleotides in length.
Source: RNAcentral